CUUGGAAAUGUCCUUCGAAGACUGCUGCUUCUCGUCAUUUGAGGCUCAAUCUGAUAUUUAAAAGCAAUAAAGAGCCAUUUGAGGCCAAUCCCAGGGAAUUAGGUCUGAUCUCAGCCCAGCCUCAACCAAAGACACACUCCCAAUGUGGCCCUGGAGCCAGGGAUCUGAGAACAACGUGCAGUGAAUGCUACCCAGUAUGUCUGCUGGAAGAAAAGGAAAAAGUGACUCAGAACAUGGGCAGAUGCUUCAGAGGGCCCAAGUGACAAGUGGGCUCCUGCCUUGUGUUCCAGGGCGACCUCAGUCUCAACUUUGGGCCACAUUUCAACCUC
This is a long non-coding RNA of Erinaceus europaeus (western European hedgehog), 329 nucleotides long. RefSeq lists it as uncharacterized. The transcript is spliced from 2 exons. The record is from RefSeq and is a predicted model, not a curated record. Lineage: Eukaryota; Metazoa; Chordata; Mammalia; Eulipotyphla; Erinaceidae.